Molecule: long non-coding RNA, 2226 nt
Filed under: Macaca mulatta (Rhesus monkey)
Lineage: Eukaryota; Metazoa; Chordata; Mammalia; Primates; Cercopithecidae
Description: lncRNA (ENSMMUG00000051512.1)
Source: RNAcentral
AUGGAAACAGAAGCAGUACCUAGCAGAGGUGACAGUAGCCAGCAAAUACAGGGGUACCCAGCAAAACCCUGUUAUGGAGGCAAUGGAGUUGAAUCUCAGAAUGGCAAAGGAUUUUGUUUUAUACCAUUUGGCUUGUUGAACUAAUAAGACUUCAAGGUGGUACAGAACAUCAAAUACUAUCUUCAUUUCUGACACGAGGAAGAGGAGGUCAUGUGCCACCAAAGGCUGUGAUGAGGCCCAGAAGUCAUUGACCACACUAUUCCUGCUGCUGCUGUUGCUUUCACUUGGCCUUGCUAUUGAGGAUUCUAUCUCUAUCAUGGACACCUCAGCCUUUAAUAUUUCUGUUUGCCCAAACUGUGUUGUAGUGAAGGUUUGAUCUUGACAGGACAGUGAUGCUCUUUUGUUAACAAAAAAAAUCUGGGCCACAGAUAAUUCAAGACAGAGAUGUGUAGAAAACUUGAGGAAAUUCACAUUCAGAAACAUAUAAUCAGCCAUUCAUUCAUUCAUUCAUUCAUUGGGCAUUUAUUGAGUGACUAGUGUAUAUUUGCCUCAAUCGUAAGUGUUUAUUGACUACAUAUAUCACUAAAUGAGCAUCUAAACACAAAUGUGUGACUGUGUCUCUCUUCAGGUGCUCUGAAGGAAAGCAAAAUUGAUUUAGCUAUUUUCUCUUUGUUAUGCAUUUCUCCACCUAAUCCCUUUGCCUUCCGUGAAGAAUUGUUAUAGAUGAUCCAGGAGAGACCCAAGUAUGAUAGACAGGUCAAUGACUCCACAAAGAUAUCCAUAUCCUAUUUCUUGGAAACUAUGGAUAUGUUAUGUUAAAUGUCAAAUGGGAAUUAAGGUAGCAAAUUAGCUGGUCUUGAGAUUGAGAGGUUAGCCUGGAUUAUAUGUGUGGGCCCAGUGUAAUCACAAGUGCCUUUAUAAGAGGAAGAGAGAGGCAGUAGAGGGAGAACCAGAAUGAUGUAGCAUGAGAAGAGAAGAACUCGACUUGAUGUUACUGGCCUUGAAGAUAGAGGAGGAGGACCAUGAUGCAAGGAAUACAGGUGGCCUCUAGAAGCUGGAAAAGGUAAGAAAGUAGAUUACCCCCUAGAACCUCCAGAAGGAACACAGUUCUGCUUACCCCUUGAUUUUAGCCCAGUGAGACCCAUUUCAGAUUUCUGACCUCCAGAACUAUAAGGUAAUAAAUUUGUGCUGUUUUAAAUCACUAAGUCAGCAUUAAUUGGUUACAAAAGCAGUAGUGAAAAAGUUUUUAGACAACACAAAUCAGUUGUCUAAAUCAAUGGUUCCCGAUUUUGAUGGUGCAACAACAGUAGAGCUUUGAAAGUCCUGAUGCUCAGGUUACUUCCCAGAUUAAUCAGAAACUCUGGGGGUAGCCUCAGGCAUAAGUUUUUUUUUUUUUGUUUGUUUUUGUUUUUGUUUUUUUUUUAAAGCUCCACAGGUAAUUCCAAUGUAGAAUAGGAUUGAGGACCACUGGACUAAAUAAAAUUUUUGUAUCACUAUAUUUUAACCGUGAAAAUCUCAUUUGACUGAGAAUAAUCUCUUCUUGCUUAUUUCUACCAGUUUGUCUUCCAGCAGUACAAGGAAAAGUGAAAAGAGACAAAAGCUCCAGAAUCUCUGGACCAUGAGGCCCAGAAAGAAGAGCUUAAUACAGCUUCCCAAACAAUUGGAGUGAAAGGUAAAGCAUGGCCGGAUGCUUGCCCCAAGUUUCUGUUUUGGUAGAUUCAGCCACUUCUAAAUGUCUGAGUAUGUAUUUCUAUAUAAAAUACCAUUUGUUUUAUCUUCAGUAUGACACCUAAAAGUCAUUGGAAAAUGGACAAAUGCUGCCAACUGAAUUUUAAAGGUGACCUAUCAAGACUUCCAUGUGAGACAGUAAAGUCAAUUGAAUGCCCAACCAAGUAAAUUCAUCACUCACCAGAAAGCAGUGUGAGCCAUAACUCACUAGUACCAGCCAGUUGGAGUUUAGAGUUUUGGAUAUAGAUAAAGGAAGUCUGAGAGUUUUUUUCUGAUGAAUGAGGACUGAAGAAUAGGCUGUAUAUGAGAUUAACUGUGCCUUUAGAAGGAAUGAAUUAUACAGACAUCCCCUCUACAUCCAUGAGGGAUUGAUUCUAGGAUCCCCAUAGAUACCAAAAUCUGUGGAUGCUCAAGUCCCUUAUAUAAUAUGGUGCAUAUAACCUACGCAUCCUCCUGUAUACUUUAAAUCAUUUCUAGAUUGCUUACAAUACCUAAUAA